Molecule: long non-coding RNA, 2183 nt
Filed under: Carassius auratus (goldfish)
Lineage: Eukaryota; Metazoa; Chordata; Actinopteri; Cypriniformes; Cyprinidae
Description: lncRNA (ENSCARG00000011763.1)
Source: RNAcentral
AUGGCGAAUGUUCAAGCCAGGAUUCUUCAUCUGGAUCUCUCUAUCAUCAUUAUUUUCCUGAUUCAUGCAGAUUAUUCCAAAUCUAAUCAAGAGCAAAAGCUACAGCAGCACAUCAACAAAACAGUGUUUGUGGGGGAAACAGUUACACUUCACUGCAACAAAACCAAAUUAGAUGACGAUUUCACAUGGAAAAUGAACAACUCAGUUAUUUUUAGGCAGGUCUCUGAUAUUAACAUAACUAAGACAAACUUCAGCUCAAACAGGAUUCACAUCGACCCAGCAGCUCCAAGAGAGUUAACAAUACAACAAAUACAAGCGUCUGAUGCAGGAAACUACAGCUGUUACCCAGGAGCAAUAAGAUGGACAUUAACAAUAACAGGUUAUUACUUGAUUUCACUUCUUGGAUAUUCUUGUAAAAGAGUUUGGUUUAGCAAGUAUAUUUAAGUUUUUCACUAGUAACUAGUGAUUAGUGCUGGUUGACUGAUAUCAUGAGUGUUUGACUCUUGUGUGUCUGUCAGAAAUCAAGAUCAGACCAGAAUCUCUCAAACAAAUGUCGCUGUACAUCAUCAUCUUUUCAUUUUCUGGAGUCAUUAUUAUCUGUUUAAUUAUCACAAGCAGCAUCUGCAUUUACAGGUGAGAGACAUUUUUAACAUUUCUUACCCUCAGAAACACUGACAUGGUUUCAGCUCCACAUUGUUUUCAUUUCUUCUACUUUUUUAAAUGAUCUGCUACUUUUCAAAUGUGUAUUUGUAGGCAGUGUCUAUUCAAACAUGAGUUCAAAUAGCCGGCUUUUUUUUUUAUAAACUCUGCCCACUAUUGCUCAGAUAUUUAACCUUAAACACAAACAGCUCUUCACUUCUCGUUACAGUUUGUGUAAAUAACAUCUACCAUUUUCAUGCUUUUUAUACGUCUAAAUAGCCUCUGCCAUAUUUUUAUGCAUUUCAGAUUUCAUUGUUUAAUUCUUGUCCAAAACAAAAUUUAAAUUUUAAAACAAUAAUAAUUUUUUUUUUUUAACAUCUGACAUACAUCCACACAUGCUCCAUAAACAGUGAUCAAACACUGCUUUUCUUAUUAAAUUAGCUGCAUUCGGUUCUUCUACAAUUUCUGAAUCAUUUAAACAGGAAACUGAGACAGAAGAUCAACUCAGGUUCAGAGGAUGUGAGUAUAUUCACCACAGAACAGCUUAUUAUUUAGCACCUAAAUCUGCUCUUGAUUUAGAGGUUCAACUUCUAGAAAUAUAUAUAUAUAUAUAUAUAUAUAUAUAUAUAUAUAUAUAUAUAUAUAUAUAUAUAUAUAUAUAUAUAUAUACUUGUGUAUGAUCUAUACAGGUGAAGAUGACUUCUGACUGUGACAAACACACAAUAACAGUCUGUGUAAGUCAGUUAAACACACACCUCCAUCAUGUUUACCACAUCAUGUCUGUCACUGGCCUCCAACAAACAUCACUGACUCACUUCUUGAUGGAAACAUGUUGUGCAGUCAACCCACUGCUCUGUAAAAAUCACCUUUGUUCCAUCUAUGUGAGAUUGUACUUUUUUAAAUAUAAAUAACAGCUAUAAAUGAUCAUUUAUAAACAGCACAACACAUAUUUGAACAAGAGCUGAAAUGUCUGUUGUUUGUGUUUCACUUGUUUUAUCUUUGUUUUCUUCAGGUCUAUAGUCUUCAUACAGUUUCAUGAGCAUCUUUUCUUCUGAGGACAGCAGAUGAGCAUCUCAGUACAGAAAGAUGUUUGAGAACGAGACCAUGAUGGUCACAGACUUUUUUUUAGCUUCAAGCCAUGAAUCCAUCCAGUCGGAGGAUUUUUAAACACGAUUGAUAUUUUAAAUUGAUUUUAUAACUUUAUAACUGAACUAAUUGUGUAUCCUCCAGUUGUUUGUUGUGUUUUCCCUGUAAUUAUCUACAAAGUCAUCAAAUGUAUGAAGGCUAGUGUUUUAAAAUCUGAUCAGUUUCAUAUAGCAGAGGAACACACUUUUAUCAAACACUCAGACGCUUCGUCCUUUAAUCUUGAGUCUGUGUACAAAUCUUUCUGUUAUCCCUUUGACUUGACCUUUCAAAUAAUUUACAUCAUUUAUGUAGACACAAAUGUAAAGAUUAAUAAAGAAACCUUCAAAAUCACCUUCAUAUAUACAGUUCUUCACUGCAUACCACAUCAUUGUAGUUUAAAUGCAAUAUGAUAAGUUUUA